AUGACAACAAGACCAGGAAAAACAGCAUCGUGUCAGCUUCUUCCCUCAACACUUUAUAUUUAUAAUAAACCACAAGUCUUUAGUGUUGCUAAUUCCCAUAUAUCACUGGCUUUAACGAGAAUCUCAAACAAUAGUUGUGUUAAAGCUCUGCAUUAAAGUUGCAUAGCAGGAUGUAUUCACAGGCCUGCGAUUUAAUGGAGAUGCGUGCACGACAAGCCGAAGAUAAUGGGACAUUGGGGAGCAACACAAAUUUGCAUGUACUGCCCUUAGGGAGGGACGGUGCUUCGAGGUCAUUUCCGUCACAUCGCAGAGAAAGACUUCACUGUUUGUGCAUCCCCGGCGUGGCAGGCGGUCAAAUGCAGCGCCUUUGUGCUGCAGCAAUCGCUGUGACACGCUGGCAUGCAAUGACUCGUCUGUAGAGGAACAGUAGGAGCCUGUCAUGGACUACAGAUACUCUGGUACCUUACCAUUUUGAUUCUUGAUGUCACUGUUACAUCUCGCUCUAUGCAAAUCAGCUGGGCUUUAAACAAAUGUGCUCAACAUAGCACAACACUGUGGAGCUGGAGCAUAAUAAUCAGUAAGCAUGCAUGGAUCAGGACUUGUUGUUGCACAUUUCCAUAAAGAGCACAUUUCCAUAAA
Molecule: long non-coding RNA, 639 nt
Organism: Misgurnus anguillicaudatus (oriental weatherfish)
Lineage: Eukaryota; Metazoa; Chordata; Actinopteri; Cypriniformes; Cobitidae
Source: RefSeq, a predicted model, not a curated record